Long non-coding RNA from Oreochromis niloticus (Nile tilapia), 3055 nucleotides. The record is from Ensembl. Lineage: Eukaryota; Metazoa; Chordata; Actinopteri; Cichliformes; Cichlidae.
AACAGAAACAAACUUGGGAGUGACAGACGAGCAGUGACAGACGAGCAGCGACAGACACCGGCGCCAUUUUGGUUUCCCCCAAGCUGAGUGUGUGAGACAUGAACAAUGUGCCCUGGUCAGUCAGUAUUUCUUUCGGAAACUGAACUCAGGAGAAGACCUGCAAUGGCGAAACGCUCUUUGCAGAAAUGUCAAUCUGGGGAGAGGCCCAUCCAGUCCAACAUGUCACUGCACACAUCUGGGAAGCUCCUAGAAGAGCCCGGCAGCAGGCUUAGAGCCACCGUCUGAGCCUUCCCUGACAACAGUGGCAGCAACCACUCUGCCACAGGCCACUGGCACACCUCUGUCAUGGUCUGGAAUGUUUCCAUGAUCACCUGGGAAUCGUCACCCGCUCCCAUCCGGGGAUUGAGGCUAGAAGGAUAUGUCUCCCAAAUGGAAUCUGGAAGCUGGUUCCACAGAAGAGGGGCCUGAAAGAUCAAGGCUCUGCCUCCCGUUCUACUUUUAAAUACUUUAGGAACCACAAGUUUUAUUAUAGUAUUAUUGUUAAUAGGCUAUGCUGCAUCUGUUUUAUUCCUGCCCUGUGCACUGGUGGUGUUGUAAUACUUGUCCUGUGACCCACUUUAUUUUACCUGGGUCAAGAUCGUUUGUAUGUGCAGCAGAGUGAUGUGGUUCGUUAGACUGAUUCUGUCAUUUGGAGUGCCAUUUUUUGUAGCAGGUUGCCCAACAAUUUUAUUUAUUUAUUUACUUUUUCGGAGUGCCAGCCAGAUGGUUCUCUGGGAGACUAGCUCAUAUCCCCUUAAACCGAUCUCCAACCAGCUCUCUGAAAAGUCAAGCACAUGCCUGAAGGGAAAUCACACACUGUGUGUGUCAAAAAAAAAAGAAAAAAAUUAACAGCCAGCCCGAGUUGAAGAAAGAGUUUCUCAUAAAGGAAAGGGAAAUAUGGAGAAAUAGAGUGAAAAAAAGAGAAAAAUAAAGAACAUCAGUGAUCUGAAAGAAAGAGAAAAAAGGCAGAAGAGAAGGUUUUGGAAGAAAGCACAGAGAGACAAAAGGAGAGAAAGUACAGCAGGGUCUAAACACACAACCACAGAGUACUUUAGGAAUCAAGGAGUAGUAGGUAGCUACUUGCUGGUGAACUAUUAAGAUGUAGAACUUGACAUGUGCUAAAACAGAAUUGGUAUAAUGUGUCUUGUGAUAUUACAAAGGUUGUUAAGGUUUAAUGGUCAUUUUGAAAGAAAUAAUAUCUUGUUUUCUACUAGUGUGUCACCACCGUCAGCACCUUGUCAACUCCAUAAUAUGGAGUUUUUGUUUAUUUUUCUCUUUUGGAGAACCACAUAUUUUCCUCCCUCAUGAUCUUCCUGUAAAAACAUGUAAUUUUCUCAAUAAACGUGUAAUUUACAAUCUGCUUAAUAUGAUUGUUUCUUAUACAGAUUAAAUACAAGCUUCUGAAAAUAUGUAUGACUGUAACUUGAAGCGAGAUUGAUCAACUGUAGACCAGACAACAAACGACGGAGGCCCAGAAAAGUGCAAUCAAACGAUGAGUUUAUUGACAACGGAGAACAACCAUCAGCAUAUGGCUUAUUUGCUCUGACAAAAAUACACUGAGUUCUGGUUUUAUAGCACAGAGGAUCACACCCCCACAUACACGUCAAUACAGGUCAAAAAUACAUUAUGUCCAGUCAUUGUUUACAGACAAGGGUACAUCUUGUACAUCUCUAAUAACUAUAAACAGACAUAUAACUUCUCUUUUUGAUAACACCUUCCUUUUAAGGUAAUAACUUCAAGCUUCAGGGCCUCUAAGGGCUAAUAAUGGACCCUCGUCCUCAAUCACUAAGUAGACUAAAUUGGCGCAGGUCUCAAAUAAGAAGCAGAAGACACUUGGGCCUUCGCUCAGGCCUGCUACUAGAUUUAUGUGUAUUGUAAGCAUGCAUGCAAUUAACCUGCUAUGUUCUCAUCUUCCCUCAACAUGUAUCACCUGGACACUCUCACCAGUGAAGCUUAAAACCCUCUUGGAUAGAACAUCAACUCUAAACAAGCACAGUUAUGCAUUGUGUAUAGAAUGAACUCAACCUGUGAAUAGAAUGAAUGUGAUGACAAACAUAUUCAAUGCAAUAUGAACCCUGUAAACAAUAUUACUGAUAAAAUAAUACUGUAGAACAUGUUAUUAAUGCAUUUAUCAUAAGGCAGAGUAUAUGGCAGCAAUAAAAGAAUCUCUAAAUCCCAACAAACUCUAAUAAUAAAAAGCCAAAACAAUCUUACUUUUAAAUGUGGUAUAAUUACUUUGAAAACAUAUGUGCAUAAAGAAUAGAAUAGAGAAGCUGCUAAUAGUCAAAAUAGCUGAAACAAUUUAAUUUAAAAUAUAUAUUUUUGCAUUUCUUUGUGUCUGACGGUGUUGACAAAAACCUUGCACUUCUCCAGCAAAAACAUAAAUUAUUAAAAAAUGUUACACCUGGGAGAUUGUACCAAAACAUGGUGAGACAGCCAAAACUUUGUGUAACAAUUAUAUAUAAAUAUGUUUUUGAAAAAUCAAAAAAUAUAUUUUAGAAAAUUAAAACCUGUUUUGUCCCUUAUCUCAAGAAUCACUGAAAUGCGUUCUUAUUACUGUUUGUUUUGACUUUUAAGAUACCCAGCCAGGUUAUUUUCAUUCAAAUGCUAAGACAAAAUAUCAAUAUCUAUGAAUGUGGAGACUCAAAAGUCUAGUUAGGUAAUAGCUGCCGAUGGAUUUAUGAGACUUUAUAGAAAGUUGGACGUUUGCAGCAGGUGAAUCGGUGAACUACCGAGGUUGCGCCCAAAUGCUUAAAGCUGUUAGCUGGUCAGUGUUUUCAGGUGUGCUUGUACUACCUGUACAGUGCGGAGUGCUGACUUAGUCAGGCUAAACCCAUUAAAGCGUCGAGCUCAAAUAUCUUUUCAUUUUUGUGCACUGCUCUCUUGUCUUUUGUCGGCACACAUUUUCUGUUUAUUGAAGCCUUUUGUUAAUAAUUUUGAUCAUGUAAAAACUGGGAAUUGGUCCCUAUUGACAAUACUCUUAUUAUUUAUUUAUUUAUUUUUUUUGCAUUGCAUA